RNAcentral lists this ribosomal RNA (312 nucleotides) under Triticum aestivum (bread wheat). RNAcentral describes it as "partial small subunit ribosomal RNA". The record is from RNAcentral. Lineage: Eukaryota; Viridiplantae; Streptophyta; Magnoliopsida; Poales; Poaceae.
AUGCAUGUAUUGAAGGAAAAACAAUGGAUACUGAUUGUUGCUAAAUUCAGAGCCAAAUUGAUUGAUAUUAUUAAUCCGUACUACAGUGGUGAUACAUUUCUACCGACAAUUAGUUCACUAAUUUACAACUUCAAGGCUUUGUUCGCUGCCACAUACGGAAAUACUAAUUCUUUUAACAUAGGAAAUUUUGAGUCAACAUUUGUACCAGCUCCCAAGGUCAAUUUCAGGUAUGACUCAGGGAUUUUCCUUCUUCAAUAUUUGAGCAACUACAGAGGUCUCGGAAUGGAGGGUUUCCCUAAUGAUGAUCUAUAA